GGUUAAGCGACUAAGCGUACACGGUGGAUGCCCUGGCAGUCAGAGGCGAUGAAGGACGUGCUAAUCUGCGAUAAGCGUCGGUAAGGUGAUAUGAACCGUUAUAACCGGCGAUUUCCGAAUGGGGAAACCCAGUGUGUUUCGACACACUAUCAUUAACUGAAUCCAUAGGUUAAUGAGGCGAACCGGGGGAACUGAAACAUCUAAGUACCCCGAGGAAAAGAAAUCAACCGAGAUUCCCCCAGUAGCGGCGAGCGAACGGGGAGCAGCCCAGAGCCUGAAUCAGUAUGUGUGUUAGUGGAAGCGUCUGGAAAGGCGCGCGAUACAGGGUGACAGCCCCGUACACAAAAAUGCACAUGCUGUGAGCUCGAUGAGUAGGGCGGGACACGUGGUAUCCUGUCUGAAUAUGGGGGGACCAUCCUCCAAGGCUAAAUACUCCUGACUGACCGAUAGUGAACCAGUACCGUGAGGGAAAGGCGAAAAGAACCCCGGCGAGGGGAGUGAAAAAGAACCUGAAACCGUGUACGUACAAGCAGUGGGAGCACGCUUAGGCGUGUGACUGCGUACCUUUUGUAUAAUGGGUCAGCGACUUAUAUUCUGUAGCAAGGUUAACCGAAUAGGGGAGCCGAAGGGAAACCGAGUCUUAACUGGGCGUUAAGUUGCAGGGUAUAGACCCGAAACCCGGUGAUCUAGCCAUGGGCAGGUUGAAGGUUGGGUAACACUAACUGGAGGACCGAACCGACUAAUGUUGAAAAAUUAGCGGAUGACUUGUGGCUGGGGGUGAAAGGCCAAUCAAACCGGGAGAUAGCUGGUUCUCCCCGAAAGCUAUUUAGGUAGCGCCUCGUGAAUUCAUCUCCGGGGGUAGAGCACUGUUUCGGCAAGGGGGUCAUCCCGACUUACCAACCCGAUGCAAACUGCGAAUACCGGAGAAUGUUAUCACGGGAGACACACGGCGGGUGCUAACGUCCGUCGUGAAGAGGGAAACAACCCAGACCGCCAGCUAAGGUCCCAAAGUCAUGGUUAAGUGGGAAACGAUGUGGGAAGGCCCAGACAGCCAGGAUGUUGGCUUAGAAGCAGCCAUCAUUUAAAGAAAGCGUAAUAGCUCACUGGUCGAGUCGGCCUGCGCGGAAGAUGUAACGGGGCUAAACCAUGCACCGAAGCUGCGGCAGCGACACUAUGUGUUGUUGGGUAGGGGAGCGUUCUGUAAGCCUGUGAAGGUGUGCUGUGAGGCAUGCUGGAGGUAUCAGAAGUGCGAAUGCUGACAUAAGUAACGAUAAAGCGGGUGAAAAGCCCGCUCGCCGGAAGACCAAGGGUUCCUGUCCAACGUUAAUCGGGGCAGGGUGAGUCGACCCCUAAGGCGAGGCCGAAAGGCGUAGUCGAUGGGAAACAGGUUAAUAUUCCUGUACUUGGUGUUACUGCGAAGGGGGGACGGAGAAGGCUAUGUUGGCCGGGCGACGGUUGUCCCGGUUUAAGCGUGUAGGCUGGUUUUCCAGGCAAAUCCGGAAAAUCAAGGCUGAGGCGUGAUGACGAGGCACUACGGUGCUGAAGCAACAAAUGCCCUGCUUCCAGGAAAAGCCUCUAAGCAUCAGGUAACAUCAAAUCGUACCCCAAACCGACACAGGUGGUCAGGUAGAGAAUACCAAGGCGCUUGAGAGAACUCGGGUGAAGGAACUAGGCAAAAUGGUGCCGUAACUUCGGGAGAAGGCACGCUGAUAUGUAGGUGAAGUCCCUCGCGGAUGGAGCUGAAAUCAGUCGAAGAUACCAGCUGGCUGCAACUGUUUAUUAAAAACACAGCACUGUGCAAACACGAAAGUGGACGUAUACGGUGUGACGCCUGCCCGGUGCCGGAAGGUUAAUUGAUGGGGUUAGCCGCAAGGCGAAGCUCUUGAUCGAAGCCCCGGUAAACGGCGGCCGUAACUAUAACGGUCCUAAGGUAGCGAAAUUCCUUGUCGGGUAAGUUCCGACCUGCACGAAUGGCGUAAUGAUGGCCAGGCUGUCUCCACCCGAGACUCAGUGAAAUUGAACUCGCUGUGAAGAUGCAGUGUACCCGCGGCAAGACGGAAAGACCCCGUGAACCUUUACUAUAGCUUGACACUGAACAUUGAGCCUUGAUGUGUAGGAUAGGUGGGAGGCUUUGAAGUGUGGACGCCAGUCUGCAUGGAGCCGACCUUGAAAUACCACCCUUUAAUGUUUGAUGUUCUAACGUUGACCCGUAAUCCGGGUUGCGGACAGUGUCUGGUGGGUAGUUUGACUGGGGCGGUCUCCUCCUAAAGAGUAACGGAGGAGCACGAAGGUUGGCUAAUCCUGGUCGGACAUCAGGAGGUUAGUGCAAUGGCAUAAGCCAGCUUGACUGCGAGCGUGACGGCGCGAGCAGGUGCGAAAGCAGGUCAUAGUGAUCCGGUGGUUCUGAAUGGAAGGGCCAUCGCUCAACGGAUAAAAGGUACUCCGGGGAUAACAGGCUGAUACCGCCCAAGAGUUCAUAUCGACGGCGGUGUUUGGCACCUCGAUGUCGGCUCAUCACAUCCUGGGGCUGAAGUAGGUCCCAAGGGUAUGGCUGUUCGCCAUUUAAAGUGGUACGCGAGCUGGGUUUAGAACGUCGUGAGACAGUUCGGUCCCUAUCUGCCGUGGGCGCUGGAGAACUGAGGGGGGCUGCUCCUAGUACGAGAGGACCGGAGUGGACGCAUCACUGGUGUUCGGGUUGUCAUGCCAAUGGCACUGCCCGGUAGCUAAAUGCGGAAGAGAUAAGUGCUGAAAGCAUCUAAGCACGAAACUUGCCCCGAGAUGAGUUCUCCCUGACUCCUUGAGAGUCCUGAAGGAACGUUGAAGACGACGACGUUGAUAGGCCGGGUGUGUAAGCGCAGCGAUGCGUUGAGCUAACCGGUACUAAUGAACCGUGAGGCUUAACCUU
RNAcentral lists this ribosomal RNA (2905 nucleotides) under Escherichia coli. RNAcentral describes it as "23S ribosomal RNA". It matches the Rfam family "Bacterial large subunit ribosomal RNA". Lineage: Bacteria; Pseudomonadati; Pseudomonadota; Gammaproteobacteria; Enterobacterales; Enterobacteriaceae. The record is from RNAcentral.